Molecule: ribosomal RNA, 466 nt
Filed under: uncultured bacterium
Lineage: Bacteria
Description: partial 16S ribosomal RNA
Rfam family: Bacterial small subunit ribosomal RNA
Source: RNAcentral
GGACGAACGCUGGCGGCGUGCUUAACACAUGCAAGUCGAACGGAGAGGCCCUGCUUGCAGGGUACUCGAGUGGCGAACGGGUGAGUAACACGUGGGUGAUCUGCCCUGCACUUCGGGAUAAGCCUGGGAAACUGGGUCUAAUACCGGAUAGGAGCCAUUUUUAGUGUGAUGGUUGGAAAGUUUUUUCGGUGUAGGAUGAGCUCGCGGCCUAUCAGCUUGUUGGUGGGGUAAUGGCCUACCAAGGCGGCGACGGGUAGCCGGCCUGAGAGGGUGGACGGCCACAUUGGGACUGAGAUACGGCCCAGACUCCUACGGGAGGCAGCAGUGGGGAAUAUUGCACAAUGGGCGCAAGCCUGAUGCAGCGACGCCGCGUGGGGGAUGACGGCCUUCGGGUUGUAAACUCCUUUCGCUAGGGACGAAGCUUUUUGUGACGGUACCUAGAUAAGAAGCACCGGCUAACUACGUG